RNAcentral lists this ribosomal RNA (493 nucleotides) under uncultured bacterium. Its description in RNAcentral is "partial 16S ribosomal RNA". It matches the Rfam family "Bacterial small subunit ribosomal RNA", at positions 29 to 523 of the family's 1533-position model. The record is from RNAcentral.
AUUGAACGCUGGCGGCAUGCUUUACACAUGCAAGUCGAACGGUAACAGGUUAAGCUGACGAGUGGCGAACGGGUGAGUAAUGCAUCGGAACGUGCCCGGUCGUGGGGGAUAACGCAGCGAAAGCUGCGCUAAUACCGCAUACGAUCUGAGGAUGAAAGCGGGGGACCGUAAGGCCUCGCGCGAUCGGAGCGGCCGAUGUCAGAUUAGGUAGUUGGGGGGGUAAAGGCUCACCAAGCCAACGAUCUGUAGCUGGUCUGAGCGGACGACCAGCCACACUGGGACUGGGACACGGCCCAGACUCCUACGGGAGGCAGCAGUGGGGAAUUUUGGACAAUGGGCGAAAGCCUGAUCCAGCAAUGCCGCGUGCAGGAAGAAGGCCUUCGGGUUGUAAACUGCUUUUGUACGGAGCGAAAAGGUCUCCUCUAAUACAGGGGGCUCAUGACGGUACCGUAAGAAUAAGCACCGGCUAACUACGUGCCAGCAGCCGCCGUAA